UCCAUUUAGGCUUAUUGGGUUUCCCUUCAAAUUGUUCUUACAUUUCAACCAUUUUUCAUUUUGUUCUUGUAAUGUUCUACUUCAAACAGAUGUUCACGAAGGGCUUGUUCUUAAUGUUCAUAAAUGCAAAAGUGCAAGUACAAUAAGUAGAAUCAGAUGCAGAAUCAAUGAUUUGUACAAAAUACUUUGCUUGACAUUAUUGAGGCAAGAGUUAUCACAUGAGAACAGCGCUGAUAGGCUUGCAACAAAGUCUCAAAAAGAGGAGCUACUAACAGUUCCAUCCAAAUUUAGCUAGAACUGUAGAGGUCUAAAACAACUUCAUCUACCAAGUCUUGGAGAAUAUGCCUAGCAACUUCAGUGCCACAUUCAUAUUCUUCAAUCUCGAAGUCCGUAGAGGAUGGGUUCUCAUUCUAUUAGCUCGUCUGGAUUCAAAUUACCAAAUUCUAUCCAAUCUUUGCCCUCUUCAAUAAUACCAGCAAUCAGAAUCUCUUUGGUCAUACUUGAUGGUAGUUUGGUGCAGAUUCUGAAACCAGAAUCAGAGUAUCGAGCAAAUUUUGAGUCUCGGUACUCUAAUAGACAAUCAAAGGCGAAUCCUUUAAGCUGAUUCAUCUGCUUUGGGUCGUCACAGCCAAGCAACUGACCGAAACUCAUCCACAAAUGACUCGAAAACAUUUCAUUUUUAUUGAGGAGAAAAUAGCUCACAGAGAACCCAUCCUCUACAGGUAGAGCCUGCUGUUGAGGUGUAGUUCCAAAUAUAAGUUCAUUAUUCAAAAUGGCCUGUUUUGCGUAACUGAGUUUGCUUCCUUUUAAUUGAUCAAUAUUGCUUAGCACUCCAGAAACAUUAUUAAAAUGGUCUGUGAUCAGUUCUCUGCAACUCCUCCUGAUGGAUAAUGAGGUCUCACAAUCCGAAAUAUCUCUAUCAGGUUCUGGAAAGAGUCGUUUAUCAUCAAUAGAGUCCAUUGAUACAGCAAGAACUUUGUCUUCUGGAAGUAAACAAGCAUCAUAUUUAUUAGAAGCAUGGAUGCAUGAAAUCCAAGUUCAGAGUUGUCUUAUUUUUUAAUUUAUGUAUUUGACGGAAAGAAAGGAAGUAUGCAAAUAGUAAAAUGUCGAACACAUCCUGAACUAUGGUGAUCAAGUGAAUUCCCAACUAAAUCUGUUGCUGCUGAAUCUGGUAUGGCUUGAGCACGAAUUCAAAAGCAAUAAUAAGAUUCAGACAAAUAACAAUAGGUUUAUAACUGAAGAAAGACAACAACAACAACAACAACAACAAACCCAGUGUAUUCCCACUUAGUGGGGUCUGGGGGGGGUAAGAUGUACGCAGUCCAUACCUCUACCUCUGAUGAAGUAGAAAGGCUGUUUCCGAAAGACCCCCGGCUCAAGUCACGAGAUAUCACACAAACACAUAGUACAGCACAGAAGC
Molecule: long non-coding RNA, 1420 nt
Filed under: Capsicum annuum
Lineage: Eukaryota; Viridiplantae; Streptophyta; Magnoliopsida; Solanales; Solanaceae
Description: long non-coding RNA (CANN_LNC016675)
Source: RNAcentral